RNAcentral lists this ribosomal RNA (551 nucleotides) under uncultured Acaulospora. RNAcentral describes it as "SSU rRNA". It matches the Rfam family "Eukaryotic small subunit ribosomal RNA", at positions 548 to 1098 of the family's 1831-position model. The record is from RNAcentral. Lineage: Eukaryota; Fungi; Glomeromycota; Glomeromycetes; Diversisporales; Acaulosporaceae.
UUGGAGGGCAAGUCUGGUGCCAGCAGCCGCGGUAAUUCCAGCUCCAAUAGCGUAUAUUAAAGUUGUUGCAGUUAAAAAGCUCGUAGUUGAAUUUCGGGAUUCGUCGGUUGGUCGGGCUUCACUGUCCGCACUGACCUGACGGGUUCCUACCUUCUGAAUAACCAGCAUGCUAUUAAGUUAGUGCGUUGGGGAAGCAGAGCUAUUACCUUGAAAAAAUUAGAGUGCUUAAAGCAGGCUUGUGCUUGAAUAGAUUAGCAUGGAAUAAUAAAAUAGGACGGCAUGGUUCUAUUUUGUUGGUUUCUAGGAUCACCGUAAUGAUUAAUAGGGAUAGUUGGGGGCAUUAGUAUUCAAUUGUCAGAGGUGAAAUUCUUGGAUUUAUUGAAGACUAACUUCUGCGAAAGCAUUUGCCAAGGAUGUUUCCAUUAAUCAAGAACGAAAGUUAGGGGAUCGAAGACGAUCAGAUACCGUCGUAGUCUUAACCAUAAACUAUGCCGACUAGGGAUCGGACGAUGUUAAUUUUUUAAUGACUCGUUCGGCGCCUUACGGGAAAC